Molecule: long non-coding RNA, 400 nt
Organism: Grus americana (Whooping crane)
Lineage: Eukaryota; Metazoa; Chordata; Aves; Gruiformes; Gruidae
Exons: 3
Source: RefSeq, a predicted model, not a curated record
GUGAAACCAUCUCCUGCACAUCCGGGUGCAGAACAGAAUGUUUUUGCCUUACUUGUAAUGAACAGCACGUUGCAAAUCUUCCCCAUGGGUGAUGACACCAGCUCAAACUGAUGAACUAAACCUGGGUGCAGGUUGCAAAGGAACAUAGAAUUGAAUUUUGGCUUGACAGUUGAAAAGAAUUUCUCUUCAUUUUUGAUCAUGUAAUUUCCUUCCUGUGUUGGUGGCCUCACAAGAUGAGUAUGGAGUUACUGUUGUGAUUACUCAUUCUCAUUAGGAAUGAAUUUUGACAACUGUCACUAGGACUGGGCUGAGCUUUGAGUAACAGUAAGUCAAAUAUACCAUAGAGUAGGAAAGUUUGUACAGUAGGCCAAUAGAUAUGGGAUGUAGUUUUAUUUCAGUG